RNAcentral lists this ribosomal RNA (502 nucleotides) under uncultured bacterium. RNAcentral describes it as "partial 16S ribosomal RNA". It matches the Rfam family "Bacterial small subunit ribosomal RNA", at positions 28 to 507 of the family's 1533-position model. The record is from RNAcentral.
GACGAACGCUGGCGGCGUGCCUAAUACAUGCAAGUCGAACGAACCGCGGCUGAGUGCUUGCACUUGGUCAAGGUGGGUGGCGAACGGGUGAGUAACACGUGGGUAACCUACCUCAUAGGGGGGGAUAACAGUCGGAAACGACUGCUAAUACCGCAUAGUACAUGGAAUCACAUGAUUCUGUGAGGAAAGGUGUCGCAAGCUAUCUCUAAGGGAUGGACCCGCGGUGCAUUAGCUGGUUGGUAGGGGAAUGGCCUACCAAGGAGAUGAUGCCUAGCCGAACGGAGAGGGUGAUUGGCCACAUUUGGACUGAGACACCGCCCAAACCCCCAAGGGAGGUCACAGGAGGGAAUCUUCCGCCAUGGAGCGAAGUCCGACGGAGCAAACGCGGGUGAGUUAAGAAGGUUCUCCGAUCCUAAAGCCUUUUUGUUAGGGAAGAAAAGAACGUAGAGUUACUGUUAUGCGUCUGACGGUAACUAACCAGAAAGCCACGGCUAACUACGUG